CCUACGGGGGGCAGCAGUGGGGAAUAUUGGGCAAUGGGCGCAAGCCUGACCCAGCAACGCCGCGUGAAGGAAGAAGGCCCUCGGGUUGUAAACUUCUUUUAUCAAGGACGAAACAAAUGACGGUACUUGAUGAAUAAGCCACGGCUAACUACGUGCCAGCAGCCGCGGUAAUACGUAGGUGGCAAGCGUUAUCCGGAUUUACUGGGUGUAAAGGGCGUGUAGGCGGGACUGCAAGUCAGAUGUGAAAUCCCAAGGCUCAACCUUGGAACUGCAUUUGAAACUGUUGGUCUUGAGUAUCGGAGAGG
RNAcentral lists this ribosomal RNA (305 nucleotides) under uncultured bacterium. Its description in RNAcentral is "bacterial SSU rRNA". It matches the Rfam family "Bacterial small subunit ribosomal RNA", at positions 338 to 657 of the family's 1533-position model. The record is from RNAcentral.